GGGAGCAUGAGACACACUGGGGCCGACCCAGACCCCAACCACCCUGCCAUCCACAGCCUAAGACAGAGUCUCCCCGGCCAACCCACCACCUGCACGCAGGAAAAGUAAAUGCUUGUUUUGAGCCAUUGAGUUUUGGGGCGCUUUGUUAUGCAGCAUUAUUGUAGCAAUAGCUGACUGAUGUAGUCCUUCCGGAAUUUUCUCCCAGCGUAUAUAACGUCUUUAGGUGAGAGAAAGUUCUGCAGUCUCCACUGUUUACUCUUCUGACAUCCAAGGGAGCAGGAUGAACCCUAAAAUCUUCUCUUCUCCUUCAAGGACCCCUCUUCUUGAACGGCUUUGCAAAAUUCAUCGAUGACAUUCCUUUCUUGGUUAAUGUGUUCACCCGAAAAUACCUACUGAGGUCCCAUUAGGGGCGAGGACCCAGGUCCCGAUUACAAUGUCACUUCCGUUCUUGUAAAGUGACUUCAGCCCGAGAUACUGAAGAGCAAGCCUUGAGCCCACUCAACCAUUCGUCAUCAGGGAUAUUCUCCACGUCAGAAUUCGAGACCACUAGAGAUCAGGCGGAGGAACAUUCCACUGUGUGCACGGCCCACGCUCUGCUUACCCGUUCGCCCCCCUAAACGGACACCCGAGUUGCUUCCGCCCCUCGGCUCCCGUGAGAACACGGGUGUGCCGACGCCUCUUCCAGACCUUGCUUUGCACUUAUUUGGGGGUUCCCGCUCAGCGUUGUGUCCUCAAGACCUGAGGCGCCCAAGGGUGCUGACGGGCCGGACGCCUGCCGAGGCUGUUACCGCCAAGUUUCAGAACCACCUGUGAGAGCUCCUGCUCCCUCAGCGAAGGAGAAAGUAAGACAGUUGGAAGUGACUUUCCCAAAGCCACGUAAAGAGUGGCAGAACCCAGACGCUGCAGCAAGUCUGUCCCACCCCGGGAGUGGGGGGCAGGGGGCCGCGGCUCGUGCACCCACCGCUGUUCCUUGCUAAUUGAAACUUCGGGAGGACCCAUGACCGUGCAUGUGUCAAAGCCCAAAGGGUGCACACCACAGAGGUGGCGUCCGAGGCUGCAGAUGUAAAGAGUGGCUCCAGACGUUGGUGGCCCCCAGCGUGGGCUGCAGGCGGGGCCACGGAGUCUGGCGGGGUUACCCUCACUGCUCCACGAGACACACACUCCCGCUCUACAGGCUUUUUGUCCCCUAGACCCUCACUCUUAUUUCCCAGGGGAGGAACCAAAGCCCAGGGGGAGCGUCAGGCCCACGGGUGAGGCCCCUGCUGACGCCACGCCUCCCGUGAGACUUGCCCACCAGGCACUGGGUCGGCCCGCGGGGAGACGCGCUCCAGGGCUUCCGUGGAAGGGAACAGACCCUGGCGUAAACAGCACCUCCCAGCCAGGUCCUCUCUUUCCCACCAAGAGGUGGAGGCCACGCCGUGUGGGAGGGGGGCGUGCACGCGGAAGACCUCCUGGGUUUACUCUGGCUGCAGACCAGCGGGAAAGACGAUGCUCCCAGCACCUUGACCUUGCGGAGUUCCUGAGCUGCAGGAUGAGGCAGCGGGGGGUGAUCUGGUCUUGGCCCCAGGAGGCCGGCCCAGAGGUCAACAUCAAGGGGGAGCGCACAGACCCCGUGAACCCGGCGAGGAAGGGCUGGCCCCAGCUUUCAUCUGGAGCCGCUCUUGUCAUUGUUACCACGGGUCGGAGCCCAUCCGUCCAGGGACCACCGUGACUCCUCGGGUCGCGGAAUUCUUUUGUUUGGUACCUGAACAAAUAAACUACAUUUCUUUGGAAUUUCCACCCCUCCAUCAAAGUCCUUUCACAGCUGUUGUUGGAGAAAAGCUGCAAUGUUGCCAUUGUCUUUUGAGCUUUAGUGCAGCAAGGUGCACGCAGGGAGCUGGGGGGGCCGAGCAGGCGAGCUGGUGAGACUCCCCCCAGUCCCCCGGCGUCCCCAUUCUGCUGGGAUGGGGUGGUGCUAAGUUUCCCCCCAGGAGUGUGCCGGGUGGCCCGCGAAUGGACGCUCUUAAAUGUGAACGGUUAGGCAUUUAUUUCAGUCGGUUUAAAACAAAUGUCAUCUCUG
Molecule: long non-coding RNA, 2059 nt
Organism: Acinonyx jubatus (cheetah)
Lineage: Eukaryota; Metazoa; Chordata; Mammalia; Carnivora; Felidae
Exons: 3
Source: RefSeq, a predicted model, not a curated record